UCAAGUACAUGUAACUGAAGAAUCUUACUGGACCUGAACUAUUUUUACAAGACCUGUGUCAUAAAUAAUAAAAAACAACAUUUUGCACUAUGUGACAUGAAUACAGCAAAAUGCUAUUUAUUUUGUAUAGGUUGAGGUCAAAUGAAGUUUAGAAUUUCUAAAUGGCAAAUGAAUAUUAUUUCAAAUGAAGUCAUGUACCUUUUUGGCAACAAUACUAAAACAACAAUAAAUUAAAAGUGUUUCGACCCACCCUACAUUGCAUUAGCCGGGUGUACUCUG
This is a long non-coding RNA of Patiria miniata (bat star), 279 nucleotides long. RefSeq lists it as uncharacterized. NCBI's taxonomy places the organism in Eukaryota, Metazoa, Echinodermata, Asteroidea, Valvatida, Asterinidae. The transcript has 3 exons. The record is from RefSeq and is a predicted model, not a curated record.